Molecule: ribosomal RNA, 469 nt
Filed under: uncultured bacterium
Lineage: Bacteria
Description: bacterial SSU rRNA
Rfam family: Bacterial small subunit ribosomal RNA
Source: RNAcentral
ACUCCUACGGGAGGCAGCAGUGGGGAAUAUUGCACAAUGGGCGCAAGCCUGAUGCAGCCAUGCCGCGUGUGUGAAGAAGGCCUUCGGGUUGUAAAGCACUUUCAGUCGUGAGGAAGGUAGUGUAGUUAAUAGCUGCAUUAUUUGACGUUAGCGACAGAAGAAGCACCGGCUAACUCCGUGCCAGCAGCCGCGGUAAUACGGAGGUGCGAGCGUUAAUCGGAAUUACUGGGCGUAAAGCGCAUGCAGGUGGUUGUUAAGUCAGAUGUGAAAGCCCGGGGCUCAACCUCGGAAUAGCAUUUGAAACUGGCAGACUAGAGUACUGUAGAGGGGGUAGAAUUUCAGGUGUAGCGGUGAAAUGCGUAGAGAUCUGAAGGAAUACCGGUGGCGAAGGCGGCCCCUGGACAGAUACUGACACUCAGAUGCGAAAGCGUGGGAGCAAACAGGAUUAGAUACCCCUGGUAGCGACUGA